This 403-nucleotide ribosomal RNA is filed under the name Papilio woodford woodfordii. RNAcentral's name for it is "Papilio woodfordi woodfordi partial 16S ribosomal RNA". Lineage: Eukaryota; Metazoa; Arthropoda; Insecta; Lepidoptera; Papilionidae. The record is from RNAcentral.
GGGCUGCAGUAUUUUGACUGUACAAAGGUAGCAUAAUCAAUAGUCUCUUAAUUGGUGACUUGUAUGAAAGAUUGGAUGAGAUAUAUACUGUCUCUAAUUAAUUUAUUGAAAUUAAUUUUUUAGUAAAAAAGCUAAAAUAAUUUUAAAAGACGAGAAGACCCUAUAGAGUUUAAUAAUUUAUUUAAUUAUUAUUAAUAUAUAAUUUUUAAAAUUAAAAUUAAUGGAAUUAUUUUGUUGGGGUGAUAAAAAAAUUAAAUUAACUUUUUUUAAUUGUUGACAUUAAUUUAUGAAUAAAUGAUCCAUUUUUAGUGAUUAAAAGAAAAAAUUACCUUAGGGAUAACAGCGUAAUUUUUUUUUUUAGUUCAAAUAGGAAAAAAAGUUUGCGACCUCGAUGUUGGAUUAA